Molecule: unclassified non-coding RNA, 499 nt
Filed under: uncultured Glomus
Lineage: Eukaryota; Fungi; Glomeromycota; Glomeromycetes; Glomerales; Glomeraceae
Description: SSU rRNA
Rfam family: Eukaryotic small subunit ribosomal RNA
Source: RNAcentral
CCAAUAGCGUAUAUUAAAGUUGUUGCAGUUAAAAAGCUCGUAGUUGAAUUUCGAGACCGGCUUACUGGUCGUGCUUUUGUGCGUACUGGUAUAAUCGGUUUCUCCUUUCUGACGAACUUUAAUGCCAUUAAUUUGGUGUUUUAGGGAAUCAGGACUGUUACUUUGAAAAAAUUAGAGUGUUUAAAGCAGGCUCACGCUUGAAUACAUUAGCAUGGAAUAACGGAAUAGGACGUUUGAUUCUAUUUUGUUGGUUUCUAGGAUCGACGUAAUGAUUAAUAGGGAUAGUUGGGGGCAUUAGUAUUAAAUUGUCAGAGGUGAAAUUCUUGGAUUUAUUGAAGACUAACUACUUCGAAAGCAUUUGCCAAGGAUGUUUUCAUUAAUCAAGAACGAAAGUUAGGGGAUCGAAGACGAUCAGAUACCGUCGUAGUCUUAACCAUAAACUAUGCCGACUAGGGAUCGGAUGAUGUUAAUUUUUUAAUGACUCAUUCGGCGCCUUACG